GCCGACCCUUUAUUCUUUUCACCUCUUAAUCUUAUCCCUUCUUUUUCUAAGGUCUUCUUUAUAUAAGAGGAUUCCCUCAUUCUUAUCAAUCCUAAUAAACAAUCAUGCAAUCUGACAAUCUAGCAUUGAAGCGCAUGUUUUUGUAUUCUAGCAUUUUUAUUUUGCAUCCAUCAUAUUUCAAAUCUUAAUUCACCAUAUCUUCUUGUGCGUGUGCUUCUGAGAGCAUCAUUUUUUGACUGCAAGAUCUUGGUUGAUAGAAGUGCAAUGGAAUAGUUUAUAGCAUGCAUGUAUAUUAUUAGUUUAGAUUUUGGUUUUCAUUGUGUACAUUUUCCAAGUACUCUAUUGAGGAUGUUGAAAUAAAUCUGGAUCUUGCUCCAUAAGAUUUCAAAGAUAUUCCAUCCACAACUCCAAGAGACAACUCUAGAACCAAGUUGAAAAACAUAGUUAGAUGUAGAUUUUUUAUCAUCCACUAAACCAGCCCAAUCAAAAUUUGUGUAACCAAUUAGCUCAAACUUUUCAGUGGGAGUAUAAUGAAUGCAAAAUUUUGUGUACCACUCACAUACCUCAUAAUUCUUUUAGCAACUUGCUAACGAGUCUCAUGUGGAUCUUACAUGAACCGAGAGAUGAGGCUCAUACCGUACAUAACAUCAGGUCUACUAGUUGUGAGAUACAUCAGGCUACCAAUCGAACUUUUAUACAAAGUAGCAUUAACCUUGGGACUUCCAUCUUCCUUGGUUAAUCUUCCAUCAGUUACAUACUUGGUUUGGUAAAUAUAUAUACCAUUUGAUGUUUGGUGUACUUUCACAACAAGAAAAUAGUGCAUGAGUCCCAAAUUUGACAUUUCAAAUUCUUAUUUCAUUUCUGCUUAAAACUUCUCCAUGAGAGCUUUGUUGUUACCUAUAUAAAUAAGAUCAUCAACAUAAAGGCAAACUAUGAGAAUAUUAUUACCAAUAUGUUGGACAUAUAAGGUAGGCUUUGAGUGGCUUCUAUUGAAUCCCUUCUUCAUAAAAUAACUAUCAAUCCUAGUAUACCAAGCACAAGGAGCUUGCUUCAACCCAUAAAGGGCUUUCUUCAACUUGUAGACUAAAUGCUUUUUUCCUAGAACUUCAUAACCCAUAGGUUGUUCCACACAAACUUCCUCAUCUAGAUAACCAUUCAAGAAUGCUAAUUUCAUAUCCAUCUGAAAUAUUGGCCACUUGUAUUGUGUUGCAAUAGCCAAUAUAGUCUUGACAGUAUCAAAGUCUAGCCACAUAAGCAAAAGUAUUGCAUAAUCCACUCCAGGAGUUUUUGCAAACUUUUUGGCAACUAGUCUUGUCUUAUAUCUUUCCAUUGAACCAUCUACAUGAUAUUUGACUUUAUAUAUCCAUUUCAUACCAAUCACUUGCUUACCUUUGGGAAGUUGCACUGAUUCCCAAGUAUUACUUUUAUGAAUGGAAUUCAUCUCAUCAUUCAUAGCAUUAACCCAUAUUGGUUUUUUGAUGUUUCUUCAUACACAAAGGGUUCAACUUGAAUUAUACUAAGCAAAGAAAAAUUAACAACUAAAUUUAUAUUUAGAAUCUUCUGAUAAAUAUGAACCAAACUUCAUACCUUUCUUUGAGUUGAUGUUGGAGGUGAAGCUAGAGGUGAAACUUCACCUGAGUUUGUGCUAUUAGAAGAACUAGGUGAAUGUGGAGGACUACAACUAGAGCUUGAACUUCCACUUGAGCUUGUAGGGAGAAGAGAAACACUAUUAUCUCAAAGAGAUCAGAUUUAUCUGUCAUGCGAUUUGAACAACCACUGUCUAAGAACUAGACAUCCUCUUCGUUUUCUUUUGCCAAAUUACACGUGAAGAAUGUAGAAUGCUUUUCUUCAAAAGACUCUUCUGUAAAAUUUGCUCUUGACUUAUUCAAGUCAAAUUUCUUCUUUUUGCACUUAGACUCACAGUGCGCAUGUCUUUCACAAUAUUUACAUUAGAUACUCCUUCGAUCCAUAGAAAUUUUUCCUCUUCCUCUAUUAUUUCCUCUAACUCUUCCUCUGUUAUUACUAGAAGAUUGACCUUGAGAUUUAGUAUUGUGAGAGAGAGCAAAUUUAAAUUUCUCUUCAAUGUUGACAAAAGACUGAAAAGCUUGCACAAAACUUUUCAUAGCUACAUAUGCACUGCUCAUGAGAUUACAAAGAACCAAUCAAUUCUCCAACUUGAAAAGUAGUUAGAUCUUUACUUUUUUCAAUGGCUAUCACCAUUGGAUCAAAUUUAGAAGGAAGAGAUCUCAAAAUUUUUUCUACAAUUUCCUAUUCUAUUGUAGUUUCUCCUUGAGUCCUAAGAUAAUUCACAAUAUCUUGAAUCCUAGUAAUAAAUUCAUGAACGGACUCAAAUUCCUUCAUCCUCAAAUUUUUAAAUUCUCUUCGACAAGUUUGAAGUUUUACCAAUUUGUUUUUGUCUGUACCUUGGUAUGCAGUUUGAAGAGUAUCCCAUGUGUCCUUUGAUUUUAUCAUACAAGCAAUUCAAGAGAAAAUUGAAACAUCCAAUGUAGAUUGAAUAGUGAAAAGAGUUUUGUUGUCCUUCUUUUUGUCUUCUUUCAGCUCAAUUUUUUGUUGUGGUGUCCAUGCAUUCAAUGCAUUAUGAUCUAGAAGAACUAGGUAUCCUCCUUCAACUAAUUCCUAGAUUUUUUCGGAUAAUAAUAGGAUUUUCAUUUUGAUACCCCGUAUCUGGUAAACAAUGAAAGUGUAAAUGGUAAAUCUUUGUUAUUAGCCAUCUAGAGAUAACCGUUUCUCUAACCUUGCUACCUGCACAAAUCAGAAAUCUUGCAACCUGCUCUAAUACCAAAUGAAAGAUUAUAAUAAUUUAAAAUACAUUCACAAAAUACGUAUCAUCAACUAAGAAGAAGACCAAAUAUUAUUCAUAUGAAAAAUUUAAUCAAAAUUACAAUAACAGUGAUUACAUUUAUAAACUACUAGAACCUAUCAAACAAGAAUAAAAACUAAAAACUAAUAACAAUUUUCUACUGCCUAGAUAGCAGUUUCUAAAGAUAAAAACCAUUGCAUAGACAACAAUUUCUAAAAAUCAAAAACAAGAUUAAUGUAUAUCAUAGCAGUUGCCAAACUACUAUUUUAUUAACAAAACAAAAACACAUUCUUAGUAGUUUUCAUCACAGCCUUGAUCUCCAACAUAGCAAUCUCCAGCGCAUCAUUCUAAUCUUGAACAUAUCGAACUUAUCUUCACUAAAGUCUUAAAACCUUGUGAGAUUACACUUAAAUGUAAUCUAAGCUGAUUUUAUAUGAUGCUUGGGCAUUACACGUAAAUUUUCUGUUCAUAAAGCUAUUUUUUCUAAAGAAUUAUAGUGGAAACCGGCACCACAAUUAUCCCCGUCUUUUAUCAUUCUCAGCCUUCUGAUUCUAUAAAGACCCUCUGAAUGAUAAAAAAAAUUAUAGCAAAUAAAUUUUUAUUCAAGCUGCACAGAUAUUUUUUGGUCAACGUACAAUAAUGGUCUGUAUUAUUUCCAAACGAACUAUUACACAACAGUUUUUACAGCUUUCUCAAACAGCACAGAGACAAAUUAUUGGAGUCUGCAGCUGCUUAAAAGCAACAGAGAGCUGCAUUUAGAAACAGAAAAAUUAACAAUAAUUUUUAUUUUUUACAUGCAGCUCAUGUAAACAUGCAGUCUAAAACUAAUUUAAAUGCAAAUUAUAUUUAAAAUUAGAUGUCUAAACUAAAACCUGCACAUGACAGUGAAGGUGAAAUGCAUCACUUAUCAGCAUGCUCCCCUUUGAUGUUAAGAGGGUUCACAAUAUAAUCUCUAAGUGUCAAAGAUUGAAUUUCAAUUGUCUUACUGAUAUUAGCAAGUUUGUUUUGACCAUUGAUGUAUUUCAAUUCAAAAUCUAUUAUUUAAAUCUCAAAUGAAGUGAUAUUUCAAAUCAAAAGUAAUUGGAUUGUAUUUUGGAUCAAUUUGAUUGCAUAAUAUUAUCAUAAUAAAAAAAUAUCGUAGAUUGAAAUUUUUUUUUUAGCCAUAAUUUUCUUUGAAUUCCAUGUAACCAAAUGGAAAUAAAUAGAAAGAUAAUUAUCAAUGUGGACUUUCGGAUAUUCAAACUACCUCCCCUAUUAGAAUAAUAGAGGGGGAAAAAAAUUCAUAAGUGUAAUAAUUAAUACCAAAGUUUAAAGUCCCAUUCACAUAUCUCUAUAUUCUCUUCGCUUCCUUUUUCUAUUUCAAAUGGUUAUGUCAUAUACUUUGAAAAAAGAGAAACUAAAGAAGCAAUAUUAAGUUUUGUGACAAUACUUUUAUAAGCUGCUUCAUCAAUGGAGUGGAGGUUGGUUUACAAUCAACCAUACCGAUUUUUUCCAACAUAUGUUUUGCAUUCUUUGCAUAAUUAUAAUACCAUCCAAUCUGUGUAUAAAUGCUGUACAUGUGUGUGAAUGGUAAUAUAAACCUUGCUAGCUUUAUCGGCUAAUCACACAUGUUAACUUGAAUAAUUGUUCUUGGAUAUCUUAAUGUAGUCAUAAUUAAAUUAUACAAGAUUUGGUCGAGCCAUUGUAGUCAUUUCCUCCAAUGCUGCAGAAGUAGUAAGUUUUUUAUUGGUUCAAAUUUUCUAUACAAGAUUUUACCCAGGCAUGCUGUAUCUGUUUAUUUGCAUAUUAUGUACAGCUCAAAAUAAAUAGGAAGUAGUAAUUGUUGGAAUAAACACAUAAUUUCUUCCCUGUUUGUAUGCCGAAGACUGUCUUAGUCACCCACAGAUGAAGACAAUCUUAUCCCCUGUAGCUGCAAUCUGAUUUGUCCUUAUCCUCAGUGUCUGCAGUAGGAAAAGGGUAUGCUCUGUUUUGUCUUCUAUCUCCGACCUUGCAUAAAAUCUGAUUUAUGCUUAUCCUGAAUAAAAUCUGAUUUAUUGCUGUGCAGAAAAUCUGAUUUUUGUUUAUCUCAAUUUGCCUUGUAUUGCAAGUUUUCAUAACCGCCUCUGUUCACUGUCUAUAUGGCAUCCUAUAAAUAUAUUUUGGGUGCAACUGUGUGAUGUAACUUUGAAGAACAAGAUACGGACCUUUGAACUCUGUAGAUUUCCAUAUUUGUACUCUUAUUAUUCAUAAUAGAAAAUCUGGUUUGUAUGCUGCAGCAUACCGUUAUUUGCAUGAUGUGUUCAGUUUAGUUUGUAUGCUCUGUUUUGUUAUAUUCCACUAUUCUGUAUUACUGUGAUUUCCCUGUUUCCUACAGUAAUACAUGGCUUUGACAUAAAAAAUGUCGAAGAGAAAAGAAGAUUUCUUACCUGGGGCUGGCAAACUCGAAGAGCUUUCUUACCUGGGGAUGAGAAAAUGAUGAGAGCAACUUUAGCAUCGCAGAGAAGUGAGAGCUCGCUGGCCUUCUUCAACAGUCCCAUUUUGCCUUGGAGAAAGUCAGCCAACGAUUUACAGGGGCCAUCGUUUACUUGGCUUUCAUGUAGGGCUGAAGCGGACUAAUGUCUUAAAACCUCGCGAGAUUACACUUAAAUGUAAUUUAAGCUGAUUUAAUAAGAUGCUUGGGCAUUACUCGUAAAUUUUCAGUUCAUAAAGCCAUUUUUUCUAAGAGUUAUAGUGGAAACCGGCACCACACUUAUCACUGUCUUCAAUUAUUCUCAGCCUUCUGAUUCUAUACAGGCAAAAUUAUAGCAAAUAGUUUUUUUA
Molecule: long non-coding RNA, 5620 nt
Organism: Cryptomeria japonica (Japanese cedar)
Lineage: Eukaryota; Viridiplantae; Streptophyta; Pinopsida; Cupressales; Cupressaceae
Exons: 2
Source: RefSeq, a predicted model, not a curated record